GGGGAAUAUUGGGCAAUGGGGGAAACCCUGACCCAGCAACACCGCAUGAGGGAAGAAGGUCUUCGGAUUGUAAACCUAUGUCCUAUGGGACGAAAAAAAUGACGGUACCAUAGGAGGAAGCUCCGGCUAACUACGUGCCAGCAGCCGCGGUAAUACGUAGGGAGCAAGCGUUGUCCGGAAUUACUGGGCGUAAAGGGUGCGUAGGUGGCUUGACAAGUCAGAUGUGAAAGACCGGGGCUUAACCCCGGGGUUGCAUUUGAAACUGUUGAGCUUGAGUGCAGGAGAGGGAAGUGGAAUUCCUAGUGUAGCGGUGAAAUGCGUAGAUAUUAGGAGGAACACCGGUGGCGAAGGCGGCUUUCUGGACUGCAACUGACACUGAGGCACGAAAGCGUGGGGAGCAAAC
RNAcentral lists this ribosomal RNA (403 nucleotides) under uncultured bacterium. Its description in RNAcentral is "bacterial SSU rRNA". It matches the Rfam family "Bacterial small subunit ribosomal RNA", at positions 356 to 773 of the family's 1533-position model. The record is from RNAcentral.